Gopherus flavomarginatus (Mexican gopher tortoise) is the source of this 3097-nucleotide long non-coding RNA. RefSeq lists it as uncharacterized. The record is from RefSeq and is a predicted model, not a curated record. Lineage: Eukaryota; Metazoa; Chordata; Testudines; Testudinidae. The transcript is spliced from 2 exons.
CAGGGGUAGGCAACCUAUGGCACGCGUGCCAAAGGUGGCAUGCGAGCUGAUUUUCAGUGGCACUCACACUGCCCAGGUCCUGGCCACCGGUCCGGGGGGCUCUGCAUUUUAGUUUAAUUUUAAAUGAAGCUGCUUAACAUUUUUAAAACCUUAUUUACUUUACAUACAAAAAUAGUUUAGUUAUAUAUUUUAGACGUAUAGAAAGAGACCUUCUAAAAACAUUAAAAUGUGUUACUGGCAUGCAAAACCUUAAAGUAGAGUGAAUAAAUGAAGACUUGGCACACUACUUCUGAAAGGUUGCUGACCUUGGUGUAGUCAAUGGCUCUUGCAUGGGGUCUCAGUUCUUUAUACUAUCCUCUGGCCAGUAUGUGUUAAAUUUCAAAUUAUGUUUUCCCAAUAACUGUUGCAAAAAAGGAGCUUUCUGUUGCUUUGCUGUUUGGAACCUUUUGUGGAGUAUGCUUAUUCCUUGAUUGUCUCUAGUGAUUGUCUUUGCUUAUAGCUUUUUGUGACAGUAUCCUGGAACUAAUAAUUCUUGACUAUUUCUCUGCUGCAUGGAGUUCUGAAUGACUAGUUUUACAACUCCUAAUCUUAAUUUCAAGAUGGUGGUAUUGGGGAAUACCAUUUGAUGCAGCUGAGCCAUUGGAGCUGCUUGCUGACUCAGAAGGAUAACACAGCAUUGGUUUGUGUUCAGAUAAUUUAGAAGAUUAAGGAGAGGGACUAGAAAGCUAGCCCAUCUAAAGGCUCUUAAAUUCUGCAGAAAUCAAUAACUUUAGGCUCUCAGAAUUUGUCAGACAAAGCUUUCCACUUUUCACUUGGCACAGAACUAGUUCAAUCAUUGCAGGUAAUUUGUAAAAGCAUCAAAGGAUAUGUCUACAUAGUAGAGAAAAACUUAUGGCUGGCCCAUGCCAGCUGAUUCAAGAUCCUCAGGUUCCGGGGCUGCUUCAUUGCUGUGUAGGCUUCUGGGCUCGGGUUGGAGCCUGGGCUCUAGGACCCUGUGAAGUGGGAGGGUCCCAGAACCAUCUAUAUAGCAGUGAAACAUCCAUGCAGCCUGAGCCCAAGUCCGCUGGCAUGGACCAGCCGUGGAUGUGAACCUGCUGUGAAGACACUCUUAGGAACUCCCCAUUCUCCCCCUUCUUCCCCGCACAUGUCCCAGAAUAGUAGUACCUUGGUGCCAAAUACAACUUUUUCUUCUCUAGUUUUCCCAGCUCUUCAGCUAUGGAGGAGAAAUAGUUUUACCUUUCUUGAUUGGAGGCGGGGGGAGGAUUGAAUGUGAGGCAAUGAGAAGUGACCAAGCUCGUCUUUGUUUCUCCCCUUUUCAUCAUCCAGCCCUCCACCCAUGAUCUAGCUUUACUACUGUUGCUCAGAACUUUCCUAAUAGGCCUAUACUACUGCUACUUGUAGCUUUUUCUUUUGCAGAAAAUGAGUAAUUUGGUCUACUUGUUUCAUUAUUUCUCCCCCCACCCCAAGACCAUGCCUACUGUAAAGAUGCAGAUAAAAUUUUGUUCUCAGCACUCUGAACAGCAAAAGUGAAACUUCCAACAACUUCUACCCAUGCAUCUUAGGCCUGGUCUACACUACACGUUUAAACCGAAUUUAGCAGUGUUAAACCGAUUUAGCCCUGCACCCGUCCACACAACGAGGCCCUUUAUAUCGAUAUAAAGGGCUCUUUAAACCAGUUUCUGUACUCCUCCCCGAUGAGAGGAGUAGCGCUGAAAUUGGUAUUGCCAUGUCAGAUUAGGGUUAGUGUGGCUGCAAAUUGACGGUAUUGGCCUCCGGCGGUAUCCCACAGUGCACCAUUAUGACCGCUCCGGAAAGCCAUCUGAACUCGGAUGCACUGGCCAGGUAGACAGGAAAAGCCCCGUGAACUUUUGAAUUUCAUUUCUUGUUUGGCCAGCGUGGAGAGCUCACCAGCACAGGUGACCACGCAGAGCUCAUCAGCACAGGUAACAAUGCAGUCUCCUGAGAAUCGAAAGAACUCCAGCAUGGACCGCACGGGAGGUACUGGAUCUGAUUGCUGUAUGUGGAGAGGAUUCUGUGCUAACAGAACUCUGUUCCAAAAGAUGAAAUGAAAAAACAUUUGAAAAAUUUUCCAAGGCCAUGAUGCAGAGAGGCCACACCAGGGACUCAGUACAGUGCCGUGUGAAAGUUAAGGAGCUCAGACAAGCCUACCAGAAAAUCAAAGAAGCAAACAGAAGGUCCAGGGCAGGGCCGAAAACAUGCCGCUUCUACGCUGAGCUGCAUGCAAUUCUAGGGGGUCCGCCACCACUACCCCACCCCUGUCCGUGGAUUCCGAGGUGGGGGUGGUAAUCUCAGCCAUGGCUGAGGAUUCUGCGGAUGGGGAAGAUGAGGAGGAGGAGGAGGAAGAGGAGGAUGAGCUUGCAGAGAGCACACAGCACUCCGUUCUCCCCAAUAGCCGGGAGCUUUUUCUCACCCAGACGGAAUUACCCUCCCAGCCUCCCAAGCCACUAUCCCACACAAUGAAGCCAUGGAAGGGAUCUCUGCUGCAAAUUUUUCAAGCCUCCUUACUCCGUCCCGAAGGCUAUCUCAGAUAAGGCGGUGGGGGAAAAAAAAAGACAUGACAUGAAAUGUUCUCGGAAAUGAUGGAAGUGACCUGCAAUGAAAGAGCUCAUCUGUAUGAGCGGAAGGACGUGGUAUCAAAUUACAGGAAAGAUACCAGUGAACGUGAGGACGGGAGGGAUGCUCGAGAUGAGGUGGCAGCAGGAAGAUCAGAGGUGUAGGCAGGAAGAUCAGCGGUGGCGGGAUGCAACUCUGGGGCUGCUGCGUGAUCAAACUGACAUCCUCCGGCUUCUGGUGGAGCUUCAAGAACAGCAGCAGGAUCACAGAGUGCCAUUGCAGCCCCUGUAUAACCCCAUAUCCUCCUCACUCAGAUGUGUAGGAACGCAUGGGGAGAGGCUCCGUGCACCUGCCCACUCCACCCUCAUGGACAGCCCAACCAAAAGGCUGUCAUUACUUUGAAAUUUUUUUAGUGGCCUUUUCCUGCCCUCCUAUCCUCCUCCCAAACCACACCCGGGCUACCUUGUCAGUUCUCUCCCUCUUUUUAUAAUGAAUUAAUAAAGAAUACAUGAUUUUUAAAUGA